UGCAAGGUGUUGGGAGCAGACCUCGGGC
RNAcentral lists this small RNA (28 nucleotides) under Bombyx mori (domestic silkworm). RNAcentral describes it as "ovarian small RNA-33376". Lineage: Eukaryota; Metazoa; Arthropoda; Insecta; Lepidoptera; Bombycidae. The record is from RNAcentral.